RNAcentral lists this unclassified non-coding RNA (316 nucleotides) under Hevea brasiliensis (rubber tree). Lineage: Eukaryota; Viridiplantae; Streptophyta; Magnoliopsida; Malpighiales; Euphorbiaceae. The record is from RNAcentral.
AGUUGUGAGCGUGACCUUUUUGAAGCAUACCCAUGCUGCUGACUUGCGAAGUUAUCCGGAUUCAUGGAGAGAUCUUGAACCAUCAAGGUUUUUUCAGUAGGUACACUGUUCAGGUGAUUCUGUACAUUUCCUGAAGCAAGCAAUGGUUUUUGGUCUCCAGUAGUGCUUGGAGAUGCCUCCUUAUUUUUACUAUCAACAAAAGGCAAUGGGCUUUGGCUGCCCUCCACUGCAGAAAUAGUAACUUGCAUUUCAGCUUUGCCCCCGAUGGAAGAUGGAAAAUCUAAUGCACUCACAAUAUCUUCUUUCAAGCGACUUC